Jatropha curcas is the source of this 161-nucleotide non-coding RNA. The record is from RefSeq and is a predicted model, not a curated record. Lineage: Eukaryota; Viridiplantae; Streptophyta; Magnoliopsida; Malpighiales; Euphorbiaceae.
UAAGGUUGAGCCAGCAGUGUCAGAAGGAUGCCACAAGCUCUGUGUUGCUUACUUGGAUGCUGCAUGGAACCUUAUUCAAUCAAUUAGGUGUUCUUUCUUCACUGAUGAACAAAGGAGACUCUGUUUAUAUGCUGCGUUGUUUCUUCCAUUCAGAAAUGUUA